This 253-nucleotide ribosomal RNA is filed under the name Flintibacter butyricus. RNAcentral's name for it is "partial 16S ribosomal RNA". It matches the Rfam family "Bacterial small subunit ribosomal RNA", at positions 524 to 776 of the family's 1533-position model. The record is from RNAcentral. Lineage: Bacteria; Bacillati; Bacillota; Clostridia; Eubacteriales.
UACGUAGGUGGCAAGCGUUGUCCGGAUUUACUGGGUGUAAAGGGCGUGUAGGUGGGACGGCAAGUCAGGCGUGAAAACCAUGGGCUCAACCCAUGGCCUGCGUUUGAAACUGCUGUUCUUGAGUACUGGAGAGGUUGGCGGAAUUCCUAGUGUAGCGGUGAAAUGCGUAGAUAUUAGGAGGAACACCAGUGGCGAAGGCGGCCAACUGGACAGCAACUGACGCUGAGGCGCGAAAGCGUGGGGAGCAAACAGG